RNAcentral lists this ribosomal RNA (800 nucleotides) under uncultured Bacteroidota bacterium. RNAcentral describes it as "bacterial SSU rRNA". It matches the Rfam family "Bacterial small subunit ribosomal RNA", at positions 99 to 900 of the family's 1533-position model. The record is from RNAcentral. Lineage: Bacteria; Pseudomonadati; Bacteroidota.
CGCACGGGUGCGUAACACGUAACUAACCUACCUAUAACUGGGGGAUAGCCCGCCGAAAGGCGGAUUAAUACCGCAUAAGACAAUAGAGCGGCAUCGCUUAGUUGUUAAAGAUUUAUUGGUUAUAGAUGGGGUUGCGGGUCAUUAGCUAGUUGGUAGGGUAACGGCUUACCAAGGCGACGAUGACUAGGGGAGCUGAGAGGCUGGUCCCCCACACGGGCACUGAGAUACGGGCCCGACUCCUACGGGAGGCAGCAGUAGGGAAUAUUGGGCAAUGGGCGAGAGCCUGACCCAGCCAUGCCGCGUGCAGGAAGAAGGCUUUCUGAGUCGUAAACUGCUUUUGACAGGGAAGAAUAAGCACUACGUGUAGUGUGAUGACGGUACCUGCAGAAUAAGCACCGGCUAACUCCGUGCCAGCAGCCGCGGUAAUACGGAGGGUGCGAGCGUUGUCCGGAUUUAUUGGGUUUAAAGGGUGCGUAGGCGGCCUUUUAAGUCCGGGGUGAAAGCCCGUUGCUUAACAACGGAACUGCCCUGGAUACUGAGAGGCUUGAGUACAGACGAGGUUGGCGGAAUGGACCGAGUAGCGGUGAAAUGCAUAGAUACGGUCCAGAACCCCGAUUGCGAAGGCAGCUGACUAGGCUGUUACUGACGCUGAGGCACGACAGCGUGGGGAGCGAACAGGAUUAGAUACCCUGGUAGUCCACGCCGUAAACGAUGGAUACUCGCUGCGAGCUAAAGAUUGUUCGUGGCUUAGGGAAACCGAUAAGUAUCCCACCUGGGGAGUACGCCGGCAACGGUGAAAC